ACGAACCUUCGGGUUAGUGGCGGACGGGUGAGUAACGCGUGGGAAUCUGCCCUCAGGAGGGGGAUAACGGUUGGAAACGGCCGCUAAUACCCCAUAUGCCGAGAGGUGAAAUUAAUUUCGCCUGAGGAUGAGCCCGCGUCUGAUUAGCUAGUUGGUGAGGUAAGAGCUCACCAAGGCAUCGAUCAGUAGCUGGUCUGAGAGGAUGAUCAGCCACACUGGGACUGAGACACGGCCCAGACUCCUACGGGAGGCAGCAGUGGGGAAUUUUCCGCAAUGGGCGAAAGCCUGACGGAGCAACGCCGCGUGAGGGAUGAAGGCCUCUGGGCUGUAAACCUCUUUUAUCAAGGAAGAAGAUCUGACGGUACUUGAUGAAUAAGCCACGG
This 383-nucleotide ribosomal RNA is filed under the name uncultured cyanobacterium. RNAcentral's name for it is "bacterial SSU rRNA". It matches the Rfam family "Bacterial small subunit ribosomal RNA", at positions 66 to 496 of the family's 1533-position model. The record is from RNAcentral. Lineage: Bacteria; Bacillati; Cyanobacteriota.